CCUGAGGCUGGAGAGUCGGCUUAAGGGCAAUUGCUACUCUUUCAGAGGACAUGUGUUUGGCUCCCAGCUCCCACACUGUGGCUCACAACCUUCCAUAUAACUAAUUCCAAGGAUCCAAUACUCUUUUCUGACCUCCACGGGCACCAGACACAGGUUUUGAGCUGCAGUCUGAAAGCUUUGGGAGUGAAGCCACCCAGUGGCCAUCAUCAUGUCUUCACUGAAGCUGAUGCUGUUAUGUUGUCUUGACCCGGCUUGUCUUAGCUUUAACCCACGACAGCCAUGAGGUUUGGCCUGAGUGGGGGUGUGUGGACCUGGAAGCUCCCAGCAACCCAAAGGCAAUAAAGAUCAAACACAGGCAUCUUGUCAUCUUCAGAGAGCUCUCAAUUCCAUGUUGUGGAACUAGAGUCAUUUCUUUAUUAGCCAUCUUUUCUGGUGUUUCUUAACCAUCCUGCUAAUACCAUUUCCUUCUUUGUUCCCUCUCUGCUCUGGCCGCUCGCCCCUAACUCCUCACCUUCCAUCCUCACAAGUUACUCACACACCUCUAGAACCUAAGCCCAGGUGAGGGCCUAUUCAGAUGCUUAGGCACAUACAGAUGCAAAUUAGGAGGCAUAUUACCCUGAGGCCAUAGUAAACAAUAGUAGCCCUACUGGCAUUUAACAAUACAAUGGUGAACCGGUGCUUUCUGGUGCUGAUAUUUACAGCAACUAGAGACUGGGACCCAAAAUAUUCCAUAACAGAAAUAUUCAGUCCCCCACAGUAUGUGAAACAUUCUACACAGCUUUGGUUGAGAGGCUGGGUAUGGUGGCACACAUCUUUAAUCCCAGCACUAGGAAAGCAGAGGCAGAGGCAGCACUCUAUGAGUUUGAGCCCAG
This 872-nucleotide long non-coding RNA is filed under the name Cricetulus griseus (Chinese hamster). Its description in RNAcentral is "lncRNA (ENSCGRG00015042290.1)". The record is from RNAcentral. Lineage: Eukaryota; Metazoa; Chordata; Mammalia; Rodentia; Cricetidae.